RNAcentral lists this transfer RNA (69 nucleotides) under Pelodytes ibericus (Iberian parsley frog). RNAcentral's name for it is "tRNA-Trp". It matches the Rfam family "tRNA". Rfam says of the family: Transfer RNA (tRNA) molecules are approximately 80 nucleotides in length. Their secondary structure includes four short double-helical elements and three loops (D, anti-codon, and T loops). The record is from RNAcentral. Lineage: Eukaryota; Metazoa; Chordata; Amphibia; Anura; Pelodytidae.
AGAAACUUAGGAUAAAUAGACCAGAGGCCUUCAAAGCCUCAAGCAGAAGUUAAAAUCUUCUAGUUUCUG